AUAAUGUUCUGAUAAAGACACUCUCUCAUGCACUUCUGUAUUUCCAAGCCUUUUAAUUGCUGAACACACCUGGAAAGCUUCACCUCCAAUGGCCAAGUUGUGAGUGAGAAUUAACAUUUUCCAUUCCAAUAGUAUUAUGCAAUCAACAAUGCACUCAUUCAUUUUGAACGAGCGUUACAAAUUUUGAAAACACAAAACUAACUUUGAUUCUCCUACUUAGUCAUUUUCUGGAGCAGCCUCAGGGCUCAGUCUGAAGAAUUUUUUCGUGUUUUUUAAUAUGUAACUUCUAAUAUGAGGUAGUACUUUUAUAUUGCGUUGCAUUUUAGGAAACCAGGGCUACCAAACUGGCAGAGACUCUACUGUUCUUCAAGAGAUAUUGGACUUAGACAGAAGCGAAAGGACCUUUUUCUUUUCCUCUGACAGGACAACUGGAUCGGUGAAUGAAGGUGGCAAAGUACUGAAGAACAGGAUUGACCUUCAACCAAAUAUUUAAGAAUAUAUGCAGACCGUGAUGUGCUCCAAGCUGCAUGAUUCAAUGGGAAGGAAGCACACCACUAUAGGAGGUCAUCAAGAAAGUAAGAUAAAACAGCACUCUGAAAGGAACAGCAGCAGGACAUCACUGAAAAUAUUAUCAAAGAAAGAAAACGGUUUUCUUAAAGGGCAGCACUCUCCAUGGCAGAGGUAA
This 685-nucleotide long non-coding RNA is filed under the name Struthio camelus australis. RNAcentral's name for it is "lncRNA (ENSSCUG00000007241.1)". Lineage: Eukaryota; Metazoa; Chordata; Aves; Struthioniformes; Struthionidae. The record is from RNAcentral.